RNAcentral lists this ribosomal RNA (245 nucleotides) under uncultured bacterium. RNAcentral's name for it is "partial small subunit ribosomal RNA". It matches the Rfam family "Bacterial small subunit ribosomal RNA", at positions 26 to 285 of the family's 1533-position model. The record is from RNAcentral.
AGAAUCAACGCUGGCGGCGUGCCUAACACAUGCAAGUCGAACGAGAAAGGGUAGCAAUACCUGAGUAAAGUGGCGCACGGGUGAGUAACACGUGACUAACCUACCUUUUAGUGGGGGAUAACCUAGGGAAACCUGGGCUAAUACCGCAUAAUACCUACGGGUCAAAGCAGCAAUGCGCCGAAUGAGGGGGUCGCGGUCGAUUAGUUAGUUGGCAGGGUAAUGGCCUACCAAGACUGUGAUCGAUA